This 227-nucleotide ribosomal RNA is filed under the name Hypoponera foreli. RNAcentral describes it as "partial large subunit ribosomal RNA". The record is from RNAcentral. Lineage: Eukaryota; Metazoa; Arthropoda; Insecta; Hymenoptera; Formicidae.
GAAUUUUAUAUUUUAAUAUGUAAUAAAUAUAUAUAAUUAAAAUAUUUUAUUGGGAGGAUAUUUAAAUUUAAUAAACUUUAAUUAUUAAUAACAUAGAUGAAUGAAAAUUUUUAAAAAAUAUAAAUAUUUAAGAAUAAAUGAAUAAUUAUGUAAUUAUUAAAGAAUUAAUUACCUUAGGGAUAACAGCAUAAUAUUUUUUUGUAGUUCAUAUAUAAAAAAAUGCUUGU